AUGAACGCUAGCGACAGGCCUAACACAUGCAAGUCAGGGGCAGCACAAGGAGCAAUCUGAGGUGGCGACCGGCGCACGGGUGAGUAACACGUAUGCAACCUGCCUGUAAGCGGGGAAUAACCCGUUGAAAGACGGACUAAUACCGCAUAAUACUAAAUUACUGCAUGGUAAUUUAUUUAAACAUUUAUGGCUUACAGAUGGGCAUGCGCAUGAUUAGCUAGUUGGAGAGGUAACGGCUCCCCAAGGCAACGAUCAUUAGGGGUUCUGAGAGGAAGGUCCCCCACACUGGUACUGAGACACGGACCAGACUCCUACGGGAGGCAGCAGUGAGGAAUAUUGGUCAAUGGACGAGAGUCUGAACCAGCCAAGUCGCGUGCAGGAAGAAUGUCCCUAUGGAUUGUAAACUGCUUUUGCAGGGGAAUAAAGUGCAUCACGUGUGAUGUUUUGUAUGUACUCUGCGAAUAAGGAUCGGCUAACUCCGUGCCAGCAGCGGC
Molecule: ribosomal RNA, 494 nt
Filed under: uncultured bacterium
Lineage: Bacteria
Description: bacterial SSU rRNA
Rfam family: Bacterial small subunit ribosomal RNA
Source: RNAcentral